Molecule: transfer RNA, 86 nt
Filed under: Ignavibacteriales bacterium
Lineage: Bacteria; Pseudomonadati; Ignavibacteriota; Ignavibacteria; Ignavibacteriales
Also listed under: 1 other name
Description: tRNA-Leu
Rfam family: tRNA
About the family: Transfer RNA (tRNA) molecules are approximately 80 nucleotides in length. Their secondary structure includes four short double-helical elements and three loops (D, anti-codon, and T loops).
Source: RNAcentral
GCCGGGGUGGCGGAAUUGGUAGACGCACAGGACUUAAAAUCCUGUGGGCGCUCGCGCCCGUGCCGGUUCGACUCCGGCCCUCGGUA